This 253-nucleotide ribosomal RNA is filed under the name uncultured bacterium. RNAcentral describes it as "partial 16S ribosomal RNA". It matches the Rfam family "Bacterial small subunit ribosomal RNA", at positions 524 to 776 of the family's 1533-position model. The record is from RNAcentral.
UACGUAGGGUGCGAGCGUUAAUCGGAAUUACUGGGCGUAAAGAGUGCGUAGGCGGUUCGUUAUGUCUGCUGUGAAAGCCCCGGGCUUAACCCGGGAAUGGCAGUGGAAACUGGCGGGCUUGAGUGUGGCAGAGGGGGGUGGAAUUCCGCGUGUAGCAGUGAAAUGCGUAGAGAUGCGGAGGAACACCGAUGGCGAAGGCAAUCCCCUGGGCCUGCACUGACGCUCAUGCACGAAAGCGUGGGGAGCAAACAGG